AUGUUCUUGGUUGGUGUAGGUUGUCUCCAACUCCUGUCCAACGGUCUGAGUCGGCUGCGUAUCCUUUUUUGAAAAUUCAAAUAUCAAAUCGAUUGAGGGGCAGAAUAUAUUUGAAUUUGACUCACAAUUUCAAUCAUUCUCUGCAUGUGGGUUUGGGGGCCAGACAACUUGAAUUUGGACUCCACUGUGCACAGCUCAAUCAUACCUGGAAAUAGAACGUGCAUGUGUUAUUGGCCGUCCACGUGUCCACCAUCAACGGCUCCCAGCAUCCCUCUGGGUCCUUAUAAUCUGGAAACAAAAAUUUUGACAGGGAGGAUCAUUUGUUCUCUUCCCCCCCUUCCGUUCAUAUAUAAGUUGCAUUCAUUUCUUGCUUAGGACCCAACAAACAUAGGAACAUCCCAAAUCUCUCUAAUUUUUCAAGAAAGGGAAAAUUAAAGGAUAUGGAGAUGAUGAGAUUGUGGGCUGUGAUGACAAUCUUUGCUCUUGUUUUGGCCUUGGUAGCUCCGACAAAUGGCCAAGUCCCUGCGCCGGCACCCGCCCCUUCAAGCGAUGGGGUAGCAAUUGAUCAAGGAAUAGCAUAUGUGCUAAUGCUGGUUGCUUUGGCCAUCACCUACAUCAUUCAUUGAUCACAAACUAUUUGUAUAGCGCUAGACACAUUGAUUUCUGAGCUGGAUUGCUUAUUUCUUACAUGUGAUUCAAACCCUACAUCAAUUCUUUCUGAAAUUGGAUUUGUUUUCUUCUUCUGUUGUUUCUGCCCAUUUCUCUAUUCUUUUCUCAUUCUUUCUUCCUAUGUAGAAGAGAACCGGUUCAAAUGUUUUGAUGACUUC
This is a non-coding RNA of Sesamum indicum (sesame), 827 nucleotides long. NCBI's taxonomy places the organism in Eukaryota, Viridiplantae, Streptophyta, Magnoliopsida, Lamiales, Pedaliaceae. The record is from RefSeq and is a predicted model, not a curated record.